AAUAGAUACCCAGGUAGUCCACGCCGUAAACGAUGAGUGCUAAGUGUUAGAGGGUUUCCGCCCUUUAGUGCUGCAGCUAACGCAUUAAGCACUCCGCCUGGGGAGUACGGCCGCAAGGCUGAAACUCAAAGGAAUUGACGGGGGCCCGCACAAGCGGUGGAGCAUGUGGUUUAAUUCGAAGCAACGCGAAGAACCUUACCAGGUCUUGACAUCCUCUGACAACCCUAGAGAUAGGGCUUUCCCCUUCGGGGGACAGAGUGACAGGUGGUGCACGGUUGUCGUCAGCUCGUGUCGUGAGAUAUUGGGUUAAGUCCCGCAACGAGCGCAACCCUUGAUCUUAGUUGCCAGCAUUCAGUUGGGCACUCUAAGGUGACUGCCGGUGACAAACCGGAGGAAGGUGGGGAUGACGUCAAAUCAUCAUGCCCCUUAUGACCUGGGCUACACACGUGCUACAAUGGAUGGUACAAAGGGCUGCAAACCUGCGAAGGUAAGCGAAUCCCAUAAAGCCAUUCUCAGUUCGGAUUGCAGG
RNAcentral lists this ribosomal RNA (529 nucleotides) under uncultured bacterium. Its description in RNAcentral is "bacterial SSU rRNA". It matches the Rfam family "Bacterial small subunit ribosomal RNA", at positions 777 to 1304 of the family's 1533-position model. The record is from RNAcentral.